AACGAACGCUGGCGGCAGGCCUAACACAUGCAAGUCGAACGCCGUAGCAAUACGGAGUGGCAGACGGGUGAGUAACGCGUGGGAACAUACCCCUCGGUUCGGAAUAACUUAGGGAAACUUGAGCUAAUACCGGAUACGUCCGAGGUUUUAACCGGCCUCGGAGAAAGAUUUAUCGCCGGAGGAUUGGCCCGCGUCUGAUUAGCUUGUUGGUGAGGUAAUGGCUCACCAAGGCGACGAUCAGUAGCNGGUCUGAGAGGAUGAUCAGCCACAUUGGGACUGAGACACGGCCCAAACUCCUACGGGAGGCAGCAGUGGGGAAUCUUGCGCAAUGCGCGAAAGCGUGACGCAGCAACGCCGCGUGGGGAAGAAGGCC
RNAcentral lists this ribosomal RNA (373 nucleotides) under uncultured bacterium. RNAcentral describes it as "bacterial SSU rRNA". It matches the Rfam family "Bacterial small subunit ribosomal RNA", at positions 29 to 416 of the family's 1533-position model. The record is from RNAcentral.